AUACGGAGGGUGCAAGCGUUACUGGGAAUCACUGGGCGUAAAGCGCGCGCAGGCGGCUUGAUAAGUUAGAUGUGAAAGCCUACGGCUCAACCGUAGAACUGCAUCCAAAACUGUCAGGCUAGAGUGUGGGAGAGGAAGAUGGAAUUAGUUGUGUAGGGGUAAAAUCCGUAGAGAUAACUAGGAAUACCAAAAGCGAAGGCAAUCUUCUGGAACACUACUGACGCUGAGGCGCGAAGGCGUGGGGAGCAAACAGGAUUAGAAACCCUAGUAGUCC
Molecule: ribosomal RNA, 274 nt
Filed under: uncultured bacterium
Lineage: Bacteria
Description: partial 16S ribosomal RNA
Rfam family: Bacterial small subunit ribosomal RNA
Source: RNAcentral